Molecule: long non-coding RNA, 275 nt
Filed under: Homo sapiens (human)
Lineage: Eukaryota; Metazoa; Chordata; Mammalia; Primates; Hominidae
Description: HSALNT0055279
Source: RNAcentral
CUCAUCUUGAGUAAAUAAGGUUUUUCAAGGGGCUACCAAGAGGUGAAAGAGCCACUGAGAUAAAAUCUGACUGGUGUCAGUCUCAGUAAGUUCAACUGCUUGCCACAGAGAGGACAUACUCAUUCUUCCUCUGCUAGAGUAAACUCUGCUAUGUAAACAUCCAACUAAGUAUAUCAGGCAGCCAGAAGUAAGGCCAAGAAAUUGUGAAAUACCCAGGGUGGAAGGGCCUCUUCACCCUGGAAGCAGUGUGAUUUCACACUAAAAUGACUCCCACA